Molecule: non-coding RNA, 121 nt
Organism: Vicugna pacos (alpaca)
Lineage: Eukaryota; Metazoa; Chordata; Mammalia; Artiodactyla; Camelidae
Source: RefSeq, a predicted model, not a curated record
GGAAAAACCUGCGAAAACUGAGUGAAUACUUCUAAGUGUAAAUAUGCCUUUUAUGUAGGAUGAAAGAUCAGUAACACACAUGCUCACAACUCAGAAAUGCAUGUUGUUCGAAUCCAUCAUG